This 3269-nucleotide long non-coding RNA is filed under the name Nicotiana benthamiana. RNAcentral describes it as "long non-coding RNA (NBEN_LNC019674)". The record is from RNAcentral. Lineage: Eukaryota; Viridiplantae; Streptophyta; Magnoliopsida; Solanales; Solanaceae.
UUCAACCUUCAACAACAACAAAACCCUAUGUUGAACCCUAGAUAAGUUACACCCUAAGCCGCCGCCGCGAGAUCAACACUCACUGCCAUAGCCGCCGAUUCCAGCCGCCAGUCAUCUUCAGCAUCUCUAGCCGUCUCUCCGGCCGUCACGCCGGAAUUCAACCACCUCCAUACACAAACAACCAACAACAGCCGCAUCAACACCCUCACCGCUAAGCAGCCAUCUUCAUCAACAAGAUAACUCACUCCAGCGCCCUUCUUCAUCUUCUUCACACAAUCAAACCGACAGACCCGUCGUUAACCACCAACAGCCAUCGUCACCAUCCAGCCGCCCCAACUUCAUCUUCUCUAAACCUAUCAGUUACACACAUGUGCAGAGAAACACACGGGAACACACACACACACGCAAGCACAAGCAGAAAACGAGGAAGACAGAAAAUAUUUCAAUUUCUUCGUUCAGUUUUUUUGCUUCAAACAACAGAGUCCGUUUGAAUUUGACUGCUAUUUCAGCUUGAUUCCGAGGCCCGAGGUUCGUCGAGUUCCGGCAAGCUGUUUUCGAUUUCGGUUCCGCUGGUUGUUGGGUUUUUAAAUAGUAAAACAGAUCCUUCAUUUGAGGUUCUCCCUUCAUCUCUGCUUCUUCUAUAUGAUCUGAUAUUUAUUUAAUUGAUCAUCUUAGCAAAGUUUUUAAUUCUAUAUUUGAUUUAAUUGCUCUUAAUGCUUUAACUGCUUUUAUACCCGAAGGUCUAUGUUAUCUUUUUAUACAUGUUGAUUUCAUAUUUUUGAGUAGGGCUAAAUGGUUCAAGUGAACACAGUAGGAUCUUUUCAUUUUAAUUAGAUACAUAAGUAGAUGAAUGAGUUAUGUAAUAGUAGGCUGGAAAUUUAAAAGAAGGAAGUAUAAAAUAAAAUGAGCUUUCAUGCCGGCGGGAGGAUGAUUUCAAUCAUACUUCAAUUUAGAAUACGCUUCUUUGAGUUAUUAAUUCAUGCAUGCGGCGUGUUUAGAUUGUUAGGAGUAUGUUUUAGGCCGUAAACACUCGGUAGGCAAGCCUUAGGAUUUUUAUUUGAUUUUGGUUUCGAGGUAAGAGGUUGUCCCUUAGAUAAAUUCAUACGGGGAAUGCCCCGUGGACUUUGUAAAUAUUUAACCCGGGAAUGCCCCGAAGUAAAUAUAAAUGGAGUCGUGGCAUCAUCAAUGGAGGCGUAGUAUAAGCUCGGAAGACAUACAUUUAUUUAUUUUUCUCUUUUAGGACGGGACGACUUUGAGCCUCUUGUGUGUUUAUUUUUCCUUUUCUGUGUUUGUUACCUCAAUUGAAUAUUUUAAAAGCCAACUAGAUUGAGUACGCGACCAUGACUUUCACGGGACUUGGAGUGUGCCUAAAACCUUCUCCUUGAGUCAAAUGAACCUCCUUACCCGAAUUUCUGGUGCAGACUUAGUUUGGAGUCCGAAGUGUUUUAGAAGGAAAAUUAUUUUUGAAAAACCAAACGGUGAUAUGGCACACUGAAAUCAAAUGCCAGGUGGCGACCCUGAGUUAUUUCCUUUUGAACAAAUUUUUGUCACUUUCAAAAUUGAAAACCCUUUUUAAGCCUUUCUAAAAUCUUUUAUUUUAAUUUAAGAGAGUUUAGUAGAGGUUCUGUUCAAAAAAGGGGUGUGACAUCUCUGGCGACUCCGCUGGGGAAUUGUAUGUUCGAGCUAGUACUUGAUCUUGUUGGCUUUUUAGGAUGUUCAGUUGAGGUUUUUAUGUGUUUUGUUUGCUUUAUUUUGUUUAUCAUUUUAUUAUUUGCUAGUUGCUUAUUUGUUUUCAGUUUUUUCUUUAUGUGUUACUGCUUUAUAAAUUAUCAUCAUUUGCAUAACCAUAUGUCCUCUUUCUGCAACAAGUCUCAGAGCACGCGUCGCGUGCACAAACUCUUUGUUGAGACACCCUUAAUUUAGAAGGGGCCGUCGGACGUAUGGAGUGUAUGGAAAGCUUGAGCAGCCACUAUUGACCAUACGCUCCCCCGAAUUUCCUUGUUAGUGAACCCCAAACUUAUGUCAGCCUUAGGUCAUUUUUAUAUGCAUCAUGUCAUUUACACCUAGUAGGGCUCGGUCUCUGGUACUGUGUCCCUUUGUAGGGAGUUUGUCUAAAUUUUGUCAAAAUGAGCUUGUGGCCCAAAAUGGAAUCUAAUCAUCUUAUGUGCUAAAUGUUGCAUCUUUGAGGGUGAAAAGAUUAUUUAGCGGACCUAUGUUUGGGAAAGAAGGGUGAAAAAUGAAGAAAGUAGGGCCCAUUUGCAUUUUUCUUUCAUAGUUUUCCAAAAAUAAAAAAAAUAAGAAAAUCCAAAAAGAUUUUACACUUUUUUAUUAUUUUCUAAAAAUUCAAAAAGAGAAAAAAGAAAAUCCAAAAAGAUUUUACAUUUUCCAUCAUUUCUCAAAAAUACAAAAAAUAUGAUUUUUUUUCAAAUUAGUUGCAUUUUUUAAAGCUUUCUCCCAUGUCUAAUCUUCUCGAACUGAUUCUCGUCUUUUGGGACGAGAUACAUAGGCAACCCACAUAGGGUCCGGUCUUCCUAGUGAACUUUAGGUUCUUGAUUUUGCGGGGUCUUAGCAAUAUCUUGCAUGUUUAGCCACUUGCGGCCACAUCGGCCAUUCUUGCAAAAUGGGGUCAUUUUUGCAAAAGUGGUUCAAUAACUCAUGUCUUAGGAUGUUGAGUCCAUAACUAGGUGUCAUAUUACUUUAAGGUUUGUCCCUUUUUGAGUUUGUAUUUUAGCCACUUUCGGCCACAUAGGCUUAUGCAAAUUAAUUUUGGGUCAUGAUUAUUGUUUAUUAGAAUCCAUAUAAGACUUAGCGAGAUAUUUUCAUGUCUUUGAUUUCACCUUUGUUGAGUUUGCACUUGUAGCCAUUCUUGGCCACGUAGGUUAAUUUUUUAAAAAAUAGCUCAAUCGUAUCUUGCAUGCUUCUAAUAGGAGGUGUUGUGGCAUCGCAUAGUGUCUCGAGUCAUUAAAUCUGUUUGGUCUUAUUUUUUUCAUUCAGGUAUGAAUGCAUUUACCAGAGCUCGAGUAGGACAGAUACCCCAAGACCAUCGCAUUUGGGAAUUUAUUUGAAGAGACCUUUUAUAUUUUGAGUUUGUUUUCAUGUUUUCUUUUACUUUCUUGUAUUGUCUAGUAGUUUUGAGUCUUUUAUCUAGCAUAAGAGUUUGCCGAGUCUUUUGUCAUCGUACUUCCCAUUUGUAUAUGAAAAAUAGUCAUAAAUGAAAAUUCCAAAAGGAUUUUCAUUUUUAGUUUAUUUAUCCAAUACUUUUUCAGAAC